GCACAAGCGGUGGAGCAUGUGGUUAAUUCGAAGCAACGCGAAGAACCUUACCAGGUCUUGACAUCCCCUGACCGCGUAUGAAAGUACGUUUUCACCUUCGGGAGACAGGGAGACAGGUGGUGCAUGGUUGUCGUCAGCUCGUGUCGUGAGAUGUUGGGUUAAGUCCCGCAACGAGCGCAACCCCUACGUUUAGUUGCUAACGCGUGAAGGCGAGCACUCUAGACGAACUGCCGUUGACAAAACGGAGGAAGGUGGGAUGACGUCAAAUCAUCAUGCCCCUUAUGUUCUGGGCUACACACGUGCUACAAUGGCCGGUACAGACGGACGCAAAGCCGCGAGGCGGAGCAAAUCCGAAAAAGCCGGUCUCAGUUCGGAUUGCAGGCUGCAAUUCGCCUGCAUGAAGUCGGAAUCGCUAGUAAUCGCAGGUCAGCAUACUGCGGUGAAUACGUUCCCGGGCCUU
RNAcentral lists this ribosomal RNA (460 nucleotides) under uncultured Bacillus sp. RNAcentral describes it as "bacterial SSU rRNA". It matches the Rfam family "Bacterial small subunit ribosomal RNA", at positions 923 to 1382 of the family's 1533-position model. The record is from RNAcentral. Lineage: Bacteria; Bacillati; Bacillota; Bacilli; Caryophanales; Bacillaceae.